AACCUAAAGGCAAAGUACCGUAGAGAGAGUAGGUUGGCUGACAUUGAAGCCACGAUAGCCUACUUUGAAGAGAAAGCAAAAGAAGAUAGUGAUUUCUUCUAUAGGAUAAGGUUGGACGAUGAGGACCGUGUUAGAAACAUGUAUUGGGUGGAUGGUACUGCAAGAAGAGCCUACAAACAUUUCCGUGAUUGCAUUUCAUUCGAUGCAACAUAUCUCACGAAUAUGUACAAGAUGCCAUGUGCUCCAUUUGAAGGAAAUAUGCCCUAG
RNAcentral lists this ribosomal RNA (267 nucleotides) under Triticum aestivum (bread wheat). Its description in RNAcentral is "partial small subunit ribosomal RNA". Lineage: Eukaryota; Viridiplantae; Streptophyta; Magnoliopsida; Poales; Poaceae. The record is from RNAcentral.